GUACUUGGUGUUACUGCGAAGGGGGGACGGAGAAGGCUAUGUUAGCCGGGCGACGGUUGUCCCGGUUUAAGCAUGUAGGCUGAUUAUCCAGGCAAAUCCGGAUAAUCAAGGCUGAGGUGUGAUGACGAGGCACUACGGUGCUGAAGUAACAAAUGCCCUGCUUCCAGGAAAAGCCUCUAAGCAUCAGGUAACAUCAAAUCGUACCCCAAACCGACACAGGUGGUCAGGUAGAGAAUACCAAGGCGCUUGAGAGAACUCGGGUGAAGGAACUAGGCAAAAU
This 280-nucleotide ribosomal RNA is filed under the name Acinetobacter baumannii. RNAcentral's name for it is "partial 23S ribosomal RNA". It matches the Rfam family "Bacterial large subunit ribosomal RNA", at positions 1441 to 1723 of the family's 2925-position model. The record is from RNAcentral. Lineage: Bacteria; Pseudomonadati; Pseudomonadota; Gammaproteobacteria; Moraxellales; Moraxellaceae.